UAGGACUCUCGGCAAUGGAUAUCUUGGCUCUCGCAUCGAUGAAGAGCGCAGCGAAAUGCGAUACGUGGUGCGAAUUGCAGAAUCCCGUGAACCAUCGAGUUUUUGAACGCAAGUUGCGCCCGAGGCCAGCUGGCCGAGGGCACGUCCGCCUGGGCGUCAAGCAUUGAAUCGCCCC
RNAcentral lists this ribosomal RNA (175 nucleotides) under Peristylus chapaensis. RNAcentral's name for it is "5.8S ribosomal RNA". The stretch from base 4 to 159 matches the Rfam family "5.8S ribosomal RNA". From Rfam's summary of the family: 5.8S ribosomal RNA (5.8S rRNA) is a component of the large subunit of the eukaryotic ribosome. It is transcribed by RNA polymerase I as part of the 45S precursor that also contains 18S and 28S rRNA. RNAcentral also lists the same sequence under 1 other name. Lineage: Eukaryota; Viridiplantae; Streptophyta; Magnoliopsida; Asparagales; Orchidaceae. The record is from RNAcentral.